GGCCUUAUCGUCUAACGGCUAGGACAAGUGGUUUUCAUCCACUAAAUCGGGGUUCGAUUCCCCGUGGGGCUA
This 72-nucleotide transfer RNA is filed under the name Candidatus Uhrbacteria bacterium. RNAcentral describes it as "tRNA-Glu". It matches the Rfam family "tRNA". Rfam says of the family: Transfer RNA (tRNA) molecules are approximately 80 nucleotides in length. Their secondary structure includes four short double-helical elements and three loops (D, anti-codon, and T loops). Further hydrogen bonds mediate the characteristic L-shaped molecular structure. tRNAs have two regions of fundamental functional importance: the anti-codon, which is responsible for specific mRNA codon recognition, and the 3' end, to which the tRNAs corresponding amino acid is attached (by aminoacyl-tRNA synthetases). tRNAs cope with the degeneracy of the genetic code in two manners: having more than one tRNA (with a specific anti-codon) for a particular amino acid; and 'wobble' base-pairing, i.e. permitting non-standard base-pairing at the 3rd anti-codon position. Lineage: Bacteria; Candidatus Uhriibacteriota. The record is from RNAcentral.